This 545-nucleotide ribosomal RNA is filed under the name uncultured Escherichia sp. Its description in RNAcentral is "bacterial SSU rRNA". It matches the Rfam family "Bacterial small subunit ribosomal RNA", at positions 505 to 1038 of the family's 1533-position model. The record is from RNAcentral. Lineage: Bacteria; Pseudomonadati; Pseudomonadota; Gammaproteobacteria; Enterobacterales; Enterobacteriaceae.
GUGCCAGCAGCGGCGGUAAUUACGGAGGGUAGACAAAGACGUUAAAUACGGAAAUUAACUAGGGACGUAAAGCGCACGCAGGCGGUUGAUUAAGUCAGAUGUGAAAUCCCCGGGCUCAACCCGGGAACUGCAUCUGAUACUGGUCAGCUUGAGUCUCGUAGAGGGAGGUAGAAUUCCAGGUGUAGCGGUGAAAUGCGUAGAGGUCUGGAGGAAUACCGGUGGCGAAGGCGGCCCCCUGGACAAAGACUGACGCUCAGGUGCGAAAGCGUGGGGAGCAAACAGGAUUAGAUACCCUGGUAGUCCACGCUGUAAACGAUGUCGACUUGGAGGUUGUGCCCUUGAGGCGUGGCUUCCGGAGCUAACGCGUUAAGUCGACCGCCUGGGGAGUACGGCCGCAAGGUUAAAACUCAAAUGAAUUGACGGGGCCCGCACAAGCGGUGGAGCAUGUGGUUUAAUUCGAUGCAACGCGAAGAACCUUACCUGGUCUUGACAUCCACAGAAGUUUUUCAGAGAUGAGAACGUGCCUUCGGGAACUGUGAGACAGG